CCUACGGGUGGCAGCAGUGAGGAAUAUUGGUCAAUGGGCGCGAGCCUGAACCAGCCAAGUCGCGUGAAGGAUGACUGCCCUACGGGUUGUAAACUUCUUUUAUAAAGGAGUAAAGUGAGGCACGUGUGCCUUUUUGUAUGUACUUUAUGAAUAAGGAUCGGCUAACUCCGUGCCAGCAGCCGCGGUAAUACGGAGGAUCCGAGCGUUAUCCGGAUUUAUUGGGUUUAAUGGGUGCGUAGGUGGGUUGUUAAGUCAGUGGUGAAAUGUUGGGGCUUAACCGUAAAAUUGCAAUUGAUACUGUGUGCCUAGAGUACAGUUGAGGUAGGCGGAAUGUGUGGUGUAGCGGUGAAAUGCUUAGAUAUCACGCAGAACCCCGAUUGCGAAGGCAGCUUACUAAUCUGUAACUGACAUUGAUGCACGAAAGUGUGGGUAUCAAACAGGAUUAGAUACCCUAGUAGUC
RNAcentral lists this ribosomal RNA (460 nucleotides) under uncultured bacterium. RNAcentral describes it as "partial 16S ribosomal RNA". It matches the Rfam family "Bacterial small subunit ribosomal RNA", at positions 338 to 795 of the family's 1533-position model. The record is from RNAcentral.